AACUCUGUUGUUUGUGAACAGAUGAGGCUGUAACAGUAGGGGGCUGAUUCAGGGAUUAUUAGAGCCUGGGGAGAGUCUGUGUGUGGGGUGCUUUACAACAGAGGGGAACAGUGCACAGCAAAGGUAAACAAGGCAUUUAAUCAAUCAGCGGAUGGUUGAAAGCAGGGAACAGUCGAGAAAAAGCAGGAUGUGAACGGAGGCAGCCAGGAGGUUAUAAGUAGGGGAGCUAACUGCCAGGAAGCACACCUCAGCUGUUGCACUUAGUCAGACCUCACCUCCUAUUUCUCCUCAUCGCCCGUUGCCUCUGCCUCGUUUGCCGCUCUGGGAGCCAUGCAUCCCCAGCGUCCUCUUCCCCAGGCCAUGCCUACCUCCUCCUCUCUGGGUAAGCACCUGAGGGACUUGGCCAUGGGUCUAGGAAGAGGCAAGAACUUCAUGGGAGGAAACGUUGCCUACGGUUUCAUCCAGUCGGCUAAGGAGUGCCUCUACUUCCUCCUCUGCUGCUGGUGCAUCAAAGAGAUCCUGGACUGACCGACUGUGAGAGAGAGUGGAUCGAGUGGUCAAACAUUGAUUUUUCCUUUUUCUCCGUUGGCACCUAUAGUGUAAUUUCAACCAGCUUUUAUUUCAUUGUGGAUGGAGUGUUUGAUCAGCGGUGCUGGCAAAGCAUUGGCAAUGUCUGUAGGAUACUCUACUUGGGUUCCAGGAAAACAGACUUGCACAUUUCCAGAAGCUACAAAUGUUCACUUUGCGAUUGGGUCAGAGUUCAUCCCUGCUGAUCUGAGACCUUGAGGAAUGGACAAAGCCCUGAUGUUCACUGUACAAACUGGUGUGCACUGAAUAAAGGAACUAAUGACUAGAAAAAAGAU
Sebastes umbrosus (honeycomb rockfish) is the source of this 863-nucleotide RNA transcript. It is a transcript of the gene named lens epithelial protein, with no coding region annotated. Lineage: Eukaryota; Metazoa; Chordata; Actinopteri; Perciformes; Sebastidae. The record is from RefSeq and is a predicted model, not a curated record. The transcript has 2 exons.